AGUACGCGUAUGCAACCUACCUUUAACUGGGGGAUAGCCUUCCGAAAGGGAGAUUAAUACCGCAUAAAAUCAUUUGAGGGCAUCUGAAGAUGAUUAAAGAUUUAUCGGUUAAAGAUGGGCAUGCGUGCCAUUAGCUAGUUGGUAGGGUAACGGCCUACCAAGGCUACGAUGGCUAGGGGUUCUGAGAGGAUGAUCCCCCACACUGGCACUGAGAUACGGGCCAGACUCCUACGGGAGGCAGCAGUAGGGAAUAUUGGGCAAUGGACGGAAGUCUGACCCAGCCAUGCCGCGUGCAGGAUGAAGGCCUUCUGGGUUGUAAACUGCUUUUAUCUGGGAAGAAAAUGCCCCUGCGGGGGAGACUGACGGUACCAGAUGAAUAAGCACCGGCUAACUCCGUGCCAGCAGCCGCGGUAAUACGGAGGGUGCAAGCGUUGUCCGGAUUUAUUGGGUUUAAAGGGUGCGUAGGCGGCCCGUUAAGUCAGUGGUGAAAGCCUCCAGCUCAACUGGAGAACUGCCAUUGAUACUGACGGGCUUGAGUACAGACGAGGUUGGCGGAAUUGAUUGUGUAGCGGUGAAAUGCAUAGAUACAAUCAAGAACUCCGAUUGCGUAGGCAGCUAACUAGGCUGUAACUGACGCUGAGGCACGAAAGCGUGGGGAGCGAACAGGAUUAGAUACCCUGGUAGUCCACGCCGUAAACGAUGAUUACUCGAUGUUGGCGAUAAACUGUCAGCGUCUUAGCGAAAGCGUUAAGUAAUCCACCUGGGGAGUACGCCCGCAAGGGUGAAACUCAAAGGAAUUGACGGGGGCCCGCACAAGCGGUGGAGCAUGUGGUUUAAUUCGAUGA
RNAcentral lists this ribosomal RNA (845 nucleotides) under uncultured Bacteroidota bacterium. RNAcentral's name for it is "bacterial SSU rRNA". It matches the Rfam family "Bacterial small subunit ribosomal RNA", at positions 109 to 957 of the family's 1533-position model. The record is from RNAcentral. Lineage: Bacteria; Pseudomonadati; Bacteroidota.